ACCCUACGCAAAUAUUCCCCAAUCCCCAUCGCAGCCGCCGCCUUUCUCCUCCACCGUGCUCUGCGCCCGCCUCUCCUCUUUUCUGGCCGACGAGCCCGCCCCUGUUCAUCCGCGUGCAGCAGCGGAACAAGAACCGCAGCGCCGCAGCAGUCCGACCUCCUUCAUUGUGGUUGGAGGAGGAAGACGAGGUCCAUGUCGACGGUUGGCGGCGCUGCGGGUUGAUUCCUUGCGCCACGAGGAAAAGGACAAAGCGGCGGAGCUCCUGGUGGCGCUCAUCGCCGGGAUGUAGGGAGGCGACGAUUCGGUCAAGGUGAAGUCACCAUUGUCGGGAGCAGCGUUGGCCGUCGGGAGCACCGCCGCUGCGCACCGGGUCGCCAUUGGGAGAAUUGUCUGGUGGCCGGUGAGAGCAGCACAGCCCGCUGCCGCGCGUCGUGCCUCCACCGGGAGCAGCAGCAGUGAUCCAUCUUUUCCUCACGGGCUCAGGAGCAGGAGGAGCACGCGGAAGUUGAGGCGGAGCAGCGGCGGAGACCACUUCUUCUUCCUCGAGCCACACCAACACUCAUUUUCGUCCAGGCAGGGGCGUGGAGAAAUCAAGGAUCGAGGUACCGGAUGGGAGGCAGCCAGAGGCGCAGCACGGGCUACGGUUGGAGAAGUCCGAGCGCCGAUGCCGUUUCCAAGAGGGGCCAUGGCGAGAUGGCCCACAAGCGUCUGGCGAGGGAUGCAUUGGCGUCGCUAUCUUCGGCCACCUCUGGCAGGUCGGCUUCGGCGCUCUAAAUUCGCCACCAACCUCCCUUCUUGCGCCGCCCGCCUUCGCAGCACGGCCUACCAGCCCUCGAUGGGUAUGAUUUUCUGUCUUCGGCCAGCACGUCCACCAUCUGUUUCACCUUCGUUGCCUCCAUUCUUUCUCGCUGCUGCUCCAUCCUCUCCACUUCGGAUUGGCCAUAUCACCCUGUGAUUUCUUGCAGGAACUAAUUUCUUUCCCAUGCUCCCGAUAGAUAUUUGGUUCAUCCUUUCACGUUCAGUGGAGGUUAUGGUCAAGGUAAGGGUGCCUUCUCUCCAAGCUUUCUCAUUCGUAUGGUAAUGAAUAUAGCUCAGCGAUGCAAUACUUUUGUGCAGUGAAACUUGCUGCAUUUUUAGCAAUUCAAUGUUUACUCAUUUACUUUCUUAUUGAAUCGUUAAUUUGGGGAUAGAUUUUGAACAUGUCUUGGUAGGCCUUUGUUGUAAUUUUAGGCAUUUUUCUCACAUCAAUACCAUGUGGUAGAAUUUGGAACCCUGGGAUUUUGUCACUGAUUAUGACCAUUCCAGUCUUUACCUUCCAAAUGCUAAAUUGGUGAUGUCAACUGAGCGAAGGAGGGGUUACACCCACGUCGUGGCAGAGGCAGACAUUCUGCGACAGUUUGUUCCUUCACCAUGGUGGGUUCCUACCAAUUCUUGUUGAGUCUUCCCUCCCCUCUCAAUCUCUCUGAAUGCCCAUUUAUGCAGAUUUGACAUGUGGUCUGGUUUGAACUAACUUGAUAUUUUGGUACAUAUUUGGAUAUGGUUGAUGCAAUCCUAUGCUCCUCUCAAGUUCACUUUCUUUGUACAGCUUCAGUGAUGCUACAGGUUUCAUUCUUGAGGUAAGGAAAAUUACCUCUUAGAUGAUCCUUCAUUUUUCUAUGCUGUUUUGCGAAAAGGAGUUGCAUUGUAUGGAAAUAAGCUAUUUGUAAUAACUGAGAUGGCUUCCUUGUUUUUGACUGGUCAGGAACGUUGAUGCCUUGCAAUUUAGUUUUUGAAGUUCAAGUGCAUAUGCAUGUUGUUCAAGUAGUGACACUGAUAGACAUUUCUGUUUUUUUAUAUCUCAGGGCUCUACAGAAAAUGGUCGUAUGAUGAAAGGUGCAUAUGAAAAAAACGUGUGUCAAUUAAUCUCACAGCUUGUGAGUCUAAUAGCCACAGUUUUUAGGCAACAUUUAACAGCAUAGACCGUAUUACUAAAAGAUGCCAUGUCUAAUCUGAACAUUACCUUUAAGAAGCAGCGAGUGACUCUGACGAUGCAAAUUUUGCAGCCACAGGCCACUCAGCAUAGAUAUGCGAUCAAUCAUGUUAAUUUGUCCUGUCUCGAUGCUACUUCAAUCACAGAUAUACAAUGGGAAGCCUAUGGGUGUUAUCCAGAAAUACCUUUCCAUAUUACUACGAUAAGUUGGUAAUUAACAUGAAGCUUGCUUAUAUGUUACUUUUCUAUCUUUUAUCUUUAUACUUGCAGGUUAUUUUAUCUUUACGAUCUGUUUCUUCUACAAAAUCUGUGGUAGGAAAGAACACAGCUUGAGACUUCCCAGUUAUACAAGGAAGCUGGAGUCAAUCAACUAACAAUAAAUGUGAAAUGAAUUAUAUGGUAUAUCAACUCAUAUUAGGUGACUAUUCAUAUUAGCUAAUCAUAUUUUCUACUUUAUAUAGACUCUACAUUGUUUAGGAAAAUAUCCAUAUUUUCUGAUUCAUUAGCACCAUUGCUACCUCGUAUUAUUAUUAUUGUUUUUUUAUGAAGGAUGAUUGUUCAUAUUAGCUAAUCCAAUUUUCUACUUCCUAUGAACUCUACCGUUAUUUAGGGCAAAUAUCCCUAUUUCUGAUUGAAUACCGUUAUUUUCUGAUGCAUCUUCCCAUAUUUCAUUUUUAUGCAUUGUAGAUUAAUCGGGUACAGAUAAUCCUUUAUUAUGCUUAUGCAGAGCGUGAUUUAGAUACUUCUGCAGUGCACAUUUUGUAUCAUGGCGAUAUACACAUGUCUCCUAAGAGGUGCCAUGCGAUCUUUAGUAGUUGUAAAAGCUAGAGGAUUCAUAUUUGGCCCAGGAUCCUGUUGGCCAUUGGCGCAAAAUUCGUACUGUUGCGCAAACCUGGGAAACUCCCAGGUAAUCUCACCUGCAAAGUUUACCAUCCGCAGAGGUGAAGAGGAUUUCACAUGUAUUUAUAUCAAGUGUUGUGCGAGUACUACAACUGUACAACACUCUGAAACUUGGCUGAAUGUAUUAUCUAGCCCAUUAAGUACGCACUAUUGUAGGCAUCGGUUUUCUAAAAAGCUUCUGUUGAGUAGACUCAUUAAAUUCUGCUACUGGAAGGUGGAUCAAACAUUAUAGAGAUUGUAAGCAUGUUCUGAUCGAUUAGGCCGCAGCUUGUGAUAGAUUACAGACACAAUUGUAUGUACCUUCAUCAUGCUGCUGAUUUAGCUCUUAGAAAUAGUGAAGGUGAACUGAUUUUCAAAAGUUAUGUACUAGCGUAUGGAACGGAUUGCUUUGAUAUGCACAUUGGAGCCAUCGAACUGGGCAACCUCGAUGAUUUGGUCGCAGCUGAUGGGAUACUUUCUGCAGUUAUAAGACUCAUUCAUGAGCAUCUUUUGCAUGUUAUUAUCUUCUCUCUAAAAUUGAUAUCUUGCAUGAGACCCUGCUAAUCUAGGAACUGUUAUGCAUUAUUUCUUUAUUGCAUUACAUGCCAAUAAAUGUGGUCUGCUCAUUUUAGGUAUCAAAUGGAAGAACAAAUUUUCUAUCUAACUAAUCAGUCUGCAUGUUUACAUGAUAUCCAAAUUUUCACGAUUUUAUUUUUAUUUUGUGCUUCUUUGUCUCUGUCAAAUAUUCCUUUUCCUGCUUUACAUAUUGACGUCCUUUAGUUCUGCAGUAGAUAUCGGAAACUCAAAACUGAUCCGAGGUGCAUAUGCACAUGGUAUGUACAAAACAUAUUUCAAAAACAUAAAAAAAUUAGGAAUUUUUUUGACAUGUAGUUGGACAUGUUCUAUGUGUGCAUGUAAAGAUCACAUAAAACCGACACUUUUUGUGCCCUGUGUAAAAAGGACAAAAAAAUGUCUCGAGAAAUAGAUUAUUUUAGCACCAAAAUUUGUAUUUUUUACAGAGGGCACAAAACAUGUCGUUUUUUUGCUGAAACAACUUAGUGAGCAUGUAUCAUGUCAAGAUAUACACGAGACAUUUUUUGUAUAGGUUUAACAUUUUAAAAUAUGUUUUAAAUCAUUUUAAAUAAAGGGUGCAUGCACCCUGGUGCAGAAACACCAUAUCCCUUUUUUUCUUCUACACCACAGAUAUUGGUUUCCUACACCCCUUUUUAUCUAUCCAUUUCAUUGGUUAUAACUACUCUCUUAUCUUUUUUUUUCGAAAAGGAACUAUGCUCUCUUCUAUCGUUUCUUUACAACUCUCGGCAGCAUUUCAGAAUGAGUGCAGCCUUGCCUCUGUGAAAUUGGAUAUGUAUGAUCUGUGAGCUUGUGUCUGUAAGUAUGCAUCUCACGGUAGGCAUCACUUUAUUCUUGCUGUGUGCAAAACUUCAUAUGCAAUUGAUCAUAUAAGCCAAAACUUCACUAACUGUACUUAAUCGAUUUAGCAUCAGAACUUAUAAUCUAUUUUUUUCUGCUAUGGAUUAUAAUCAGAUUCUUCCAUCUAAGUUGUCAUACCAUUGUUCUAUUUCUGGCAGGUUCCAUAAUAGUAUAGCUAAAUUCGAAUUAUUUAUAUCUGAAUUGUGUAUGGCCACUAACCAUCAUGUCACGUGUGCAGAGCUCAUACAUUUUGCUACUUCUAGCUCAGGAACUCAUGUUGCAAUGUUGUUUCCACUUCAGGGAAAACGUAGUCAAUUCAUAUUGUUUCCUUAAUAUAUAUUUUUGUCACUUAACUACUAAGUAUGCAUUUGCAUCAACCAUCUUAUUUCGUAUGUGCAGUGCACAGACAUGAUGCGAUGCAUAAUCAACUAUCUGUUUCUAGCUCAAGGUGUCAUGCCAGUGCUUCCUCCGCUGCAAGGCAAACACAAGUAAAUGUUCGAUAUAUUCUUAUUUUUUAUGCUAUCAUAGAAACAGAUGAGGAAAAUGAGCCAAGGUAAUUUGCCUCCCUUCCUCCUGAUCUCCCUCCUCUCUACUUAAUUUCCACAAUAUAAAGUACUGGCUUUGUAUUGAAGAGCCACUUACUUUCACCAGUUUGUAGAUGGAUUAAAGAGAUGGCUGGCUAUUCAUCUGUUGAAUAUAUCCCUCUCCUUAAGAAAAACACACACAGACAAUUGUGGCAAUUGUAACACUGUACAAACAUUUAGAUGCUGGAGCUUGACAUGAUGUAUCAAGUAAAGAAAGUAGCUUUGAUUUUUCUUUCAAUUAUGCUUUCUUCUAGACUACUUUUUGUUGCAUCACUUCAUUUACCAGGUUACUCUAGAGGAUAAAAAACUGGUGCUGAAGCUAUAUGCACUCUUUGUUUAAAGCUAUCUGAACAAGGUUGGAGCUAGGUCACAAAGUGUAUUCACUAUUUGAUUUUUCGAUGGACAAACUGGGUGUCCAAGUUUGCAAUUUUAGUGACAAUGACACAAUUCGAAGGUAGGGAAGUUCGUGUGACUAUUGUAUUUAACUCUGCGCUGUGAGGGGAAUGUUCUCCUGUGUACCUCUCCAUAUCUGUAAUAAAGGCCAAGAGCUAUGAAACAACGGAGGAUUCUGUAUGUGUAAAAGCUAUCACAUAUCACAUAUGUUUAUGUGGGACAAAUACAAUCAUCAUAGCCUGCAUAUGGGUAUUAUCUAUCA
Molecule: long non-coding RNA, 5518 nt
Organism: Lolium perenne
Lineage: Eukaryota; Viridiplantae; Streptophyta; Magnoliopsida; Poales; Poaceae
Source: RefSeq, a predicted model, not a curated record